AUUGAACGCUGGCGGCAUGCCUUACACAUGCAAGUCGAACGGCAGCGGACCUUCGGGUGCCGGCGAGUGGCGAACGGGUGAGUAAUAUAUCGGAACGUACCUUUCAGUGGGGGAUAACGUAGCGAAAGUUACGCUAAUACCGCAUAUUCUGUGAGCAGGAAAGCAGGGGAUCGCAAGACCUUGCGCUGAUUGAGCGGCCGAUAUCAGAUUAGCUAGUUGGUGAGUAAAGGCUCACCAAGGCGACGAUCUGUAGCGGGUCUGAGAGGAUGAUCCGCCACACUGGAACUGAGACACGGUCCAGACUCCUACGGGAGCAGCAGUGGGGAAUUUUGGACAAUGGCGCAAGCCUGAUCCAGCCAUGCCGCGUGAGUGAAGAAGGCCUGGUGUAAG
RNAcentral lists this ribosomal RNA (390 nucleotides) under uncultured bacterium. RNAcentral's name for it is "bacterial SSU rRNA". It matches the Rfam family "Bacterial small subunit ribosomal RNA", at positions 30 to 429 of the family's 1533-position model. The record is from RNAcentral.